UGCAAACAGGGACAGUUUCGUUUGCAAACAAGACACACGGAUUUGGCAUUGGAGAAAUAGGAUGAGACGAACACAUAGCGCUAUGUCUCGAGCCAUUCUUAGCCUGUCAUUUUGGUAAUUUGUCUGGAAUUAAAAAAAUAUUCCGCUAAUAUGUACAUUUUUAUGAAAUGCUAUUUUUUCUUGGACCUGCAAAUACGAUUGUAGAGUCAUGUAAUGCUUUUACUAUAAAAAAUAUAUUUCCACCCUUACUCUUGUCCACAGUGGUCAGCGAACGCACAACCUUCUGGUCCGCAGCCCUGUGCGAUAUCAAAAUUCCUGCUUUGCUAUCUAGUGCUUACUGGACGAAGAACAGUUUCUAAAACUGCAAAUCUACGGCUCUGGUCCGUCCAAGCAGUGAGGUUAAAUGGUAGACAUGUUCUCUGAUAUCCACUUAGUUUUAAUUAUAAUUUUGGGUAUAGGGGGGUCACUUGUUAUUUUUUUCUUCAGGCAUUCAGGGAGGGUUUAGGUCACAUGUAUUUUACUGAAGGGAGGGCCAUCUAUUUUCACUUCAUAGACGUCCGAAUUUCUCUAUAUAACCUUUAUUAUAAAUAACGGUUGAAGAGGAAGAGGCGAAGCGAGAGGCCCAACUCAACCAACAAUAUGUAUUCUCCAGCAGGCACAUGGUUGCCACAGUGUUGAAGCAGACGUAUGACGCUUUUGAGACUGAGAGGACUGUAAAGGAUGGGUUCAGGAGGACAGGUAUCUUUCAAUUUGACCCACAUGUCAUGGCUGGGUCAAUGUGGUGUGGGAGGGAAGAGAUGAGGCCUGAAGUCAGUGCUGCUGGACCCUGUGAUGAUGGGCCAAUGGAAGAACAACCCGAACGAGUGUGUCCGAGACCAUGGCAAGAAGGCAGUAAAGAGGAAUCUGAUGUCAAACUGGUGCUGCCUGGGUCAUCCUUGCCAGUUUCUAUGCCAUCGGAGUCUGUUCUGAAGCGAGAGGAGAUAUUUGAAGUAGUGCUUAAAAAACAAGAGGAAAUUAAGGAGGAGGAGUUGAAUGUUGUGUCAAACAUAUCCUCAGUAGACCUUCAUGUCACGGACUCCAGUGAGUUGAGGAGACAGAACUGCACAACAUUUUUUAAAUAAUGCCAAUAAUCAAUAUUGGAUGAUCAUUAUCAAGUAAAACCUAUCGAGUGGGAGGGCAAAGAGGCAGGUGCUCGAGCACAAGUAGAUCCCUAUCUGUGCACGUGCCUGGUUUACCGUGUGGUCUAAAUAAAGUCAUAUUGGAUCAUUGAUUGAUGUAGACCUUUUCAAUAAAAUGACAUUUCCUAAAUCUCAAUUCACUGGAAAAUCUACAUGAUGUGUGAUGAGGUAUCCUCUUUAGUGCCCUAUAAAUUCGACAUAAUAGUUUG
This 1387-nucleotide long non-coding RNA is filed under the name Salmo salar (Atlantic salmon). RNAcentral describes it as "lncRNA (ENSSSAG00000121353.1)". Lineage: Eukaryota; Metazoa; Chordata; Actinopteri; Salmoniformes; Salmonidae. The record is from RNAcentral.